Sesamum indicum (sesame) is the source of this 1155-nucleotide non-coding RNA. The record is from RefSeq and is a predicted model, not a curated record. Lineage: Eukaryota; Viridiplantae; Streptophyta; Magnoliopsida; Lamiales; Pedaliaceae.
AAGAAAUAAUCUCCCUCCCUAGUCUCACUCUCUCGGCCGCCCCUCUCUCUCCAACUUCUUGGAGUUCUUUUCUCUUGCUUUCUUCUAGUAAAGGAAGCAUUAGAAUUUUAGUACCAGAGUGGUAUGGACGAAUUAAACGGUUCCUGAGUUGGAGCCUCGCGUGAAUGUUUAAAGUAGGUGGAUUCCGGCAAAGCUUUCGCUUGCGUGUUCACAUGCCGUACCACAUAAUCCUUAAAAAAUGAGAGAAAUGAGAGUGUGAGAUUGAGGGUUGAUGUCAUCAAAUGACUGUACAAGCCCUCUAUUUAUAGGCGUGCACAGAGCAGGAUACGGGGGUUGUUGUAGAGCGCUCUACGCCAUUUGAAAGACCUCUGAAUUAGCUAUUACCCAGAAAAAAAAUGUUUGUUAUUAUAAUUUGACUUAGAUAUGUUAUAUGGACUGAGUUUUGUCAUGUCUACUUGAAAAUCCAGGAAUUCAUUAGUCGUGUAUUUCCAACUCAUCUGUUAUCGAUUUACUUGAAGUCAAAGGUAGGAUAUUUUAGUAUAACGUGUCCGGAUGUGUUGGUAAGCUAUAUAACGUGUCCGUCCAACUAUACGAUGACACAUUUCUUUCCUACUGAUGGGUGAGCUAGGCUGAUCUGUUUUUGUUUAUGGGCCCAGUCCAAUAAUUAGGGUGCAUCAAAGAGCAAAUAAUAAAUGUAAAGUAUAGGUUAAAAGUUAAUUAUUUUACAUAAUUGUCCUUAGGAAUAAUAUUAUUACAAGGUUAAUUUAGAUAAGCCAAAAAUAAAGAAACUUCUACGGUCAUUUAUACUUAUAUCGAUAUAUAUAGAUAUAGAUAUAGAUAUGGAACUAUAGAUAUAGAUUAGCUUGUGUAACUUGUCUUGUAUUCAAAAGUUAUAAACUGUAACACUCAAGAUUGAGGCUUGCAUUGUGUAUUAGUAGUUGGCAUUCACACGAAUGACACCGUAGCCGUGUGAUACUAAAAUAGCUUUUGGUGAAACUGUGAACGCUAGCAAAUUAUAUGUUGUGAAUAGCAUAAAAGAACAGUUCUUAUCAAGAAACUCUAGUGACUCAUCCUGAUUUAAGAUUGAUUCGGGCGUAGAGAGGAGAGGACUACAUCUUGAAGAGAGCUGUCCCUUUGCAUGGCGGCCUUAAACUC